This 426-nucleotide ribosomal RNA is filed under the name uncultured bacterium. RNAcentral describes it as "partial 16S ribosomal RNA". It matches the Rfam family "Bacterial small subunit ribosomal RNA", at positions 354 to 796 of the family's 1533-position model. The record is from RNAcentral.
GUGAGGAAUUUUCCGCAAUGGGCGAAAGCCUGACGGAGCAAUGCCGCGUGAAGGAUGAAGGCCUAUGGGUUGUAAACUUCUUUUCUUAGAGAAGAAUAUUGACGGUAUCUGAGGAAUAAGCAUCGGCUAACUCUGUGCCAGCAGCCGCGGUAAGACAGAGGAUGCAAGCGUUAUCCGGAAUGAUUGGGCGUAAAGCGUCUGUAGGUGGCUCCAAAAGUCUCCUGUCAAAGAUCAGGGCUUAACGCUGGGCCGGCAGGGGAAACUCUGAGGCUAGAGUUUGGUAGGGGCAGAGGGAAUGCCCGGUGGAGCGGUGAAAUGCGUAGAGAUCGGGAGGAACACCAAAGGCGAAAGCACUCUGCUGGGCCACAACUGACACUGAGAGACGAAAGCGAGGGGAGCAAAAGGGAUUAGAAACCCCUGUAGUCC